Molecule: long non-coding RNA, 689 nt
Filed under: Cyanistes caeruleus (blue tit)
Lineage: Eukaryota; Metazoa; Chordata; Aves; Passeriformes; Paridae
Description: lncRNA (ENSCCEG00000012509.1)
Source: RNAcentral
GUCAGGUUGCACUAUGUUACUGUAAUCGUAAUACAAACUUUUAAGAGAUGAACAGAGUAUUCAUUAGAAUAUGUUUCCUUUCUGUUUCCUGCAGGUGGGAAACAGUGUGCAUUGAAUUUCUGAUUGGAGAGUACCUUAUCUUGAUUAUGAAUACCAGAAUGCAUACAGGAUGAUUCUAUGCACUGAUUUACAUCAAAUAAGACUUCAUCAUCAUUAUUUGACUUACAUCAAAUAAUAAAACUUCACAACUGUUCCCCUCCACUGCACCCAGAUUGCAAUAACUCUUCUACUUGGAGGAAUAGUCAGAAGUCCAGCAUGAAACAGGGAAGAUCAGAUAGUUUCAUACCUAUGGGUAUGGCCCUGCUCUGGGCCCCAGCCUUUGAUCUUAGUCAUCAGCUUGUGAACAUCCACAGGAAAAAUGAAUGUGUAGAAAAAAGGAAAGCCAUUACAGCUAAAGCCCAAGUGACAGAUAUUCUUGUAAUGAAACAAAAAUUGAGAGACUUUACUGGAUUUUAGAAGUGCUGAAAGUGAAUAUUUGAAGUUAAAUUCCUUGCUAAUAUAACUCCAAAGGAUUUAGUGGACUUUUGCAGAUAAUUUGUUUCUUAAUCUACAUAAGCGCUUUCAGUAGGAAUGGAACUAAACCACUAAAAAAUAAUAAAACAUUUUUAAUACCUGAAAAAUUUGCUUAU